UACGUAGGGGCCUAGCGUUGUCCGGAAUUAUUGGGCGUAAAGCGCACGUAGGCGGUUCGUUAUGUCAGAUGUGAAAGCCCUUGGCUCAACUGAGGAAGUGCAUCUGAAACUGGCGAGCUAGAGUAUGUAGGAGGGUCGCGGAAUUCCCGGUGUAGAGGUGAAAUUCGUAGAUAUCGGGAGGAACACCGGUGGCGAAGGCGGCGACCUGGGACAAUACUGACGCUGAGGUGCGAAAGCGUGGGGAGCAAACAGG
RNAcentral lists this ribosomal RNA (253 nucleotides) under uncultured bacterium. RNAcentral's name for it is "partial 16S ribosomal RNA". It matches the Rfam family "Bacterial small subunit ribosomal RNA", at positions 524 to 776 of the family's 1533-position model. The record is from RNAcentral.